RNAcentral lists this unclassified non-coding RNA (26 nucleotides) under Mus musculus (house mouse). RNAcentral's name for it is "oocyte_clustered_small_RNA5997". Lineage: Eukaryota; Metazoa; Chordata; Mammalia; Rodentia; Muridae. The record is from RNAcentral.
GGCCAUUUCAUAGUACUGGCAUCUCC